This 296-nucleotide long non-coding RNA is filed under the name Olea europaea (common olive). RNAcentral's name for it is "long non-coding RNA (OEUR_LNC010187)". The record is from RNAcentral. Lineage: Eukaryota; Viridiplantae; Streptophyta; Magnoliopsida; Lamiales; Oleaceae.
UCUUUACGUUUAGCUUUGCUAUGCCAAGAUGUGUCCCGACUUUCCCUUUUUAUCCAUUUCAUUGUAUUGUGAAGAGUAGACAUGGACCUCCGAAGACCUACCCAUGCAGGGAUUAUAUCCCAAACUGAAUGGCUGAAAGGGUAAGUGAAAAACAGGUGCCCAAUAUAUUCAUCCAUACUCUCAAAAAGGCUGCACCUUCGAUCAAUCUGUCCUUAGUUAGCAGUUUAGACUUAGCUGCUAACCACAUAAUAAAGACAUGUUUCGGUGUCACAUAUGCAUUCUAAACACAGUCGGCC